Molecule: ribosomal RNA, 691 nt
Filed under: uncultured bacterium
Lineage: Bacteria
Description: bacterial SSU rRNA
Rfam family: Bacterial small subunit ribosomal RNA
Source: RNAcentral
UCCUAAUCAUGCAAGUCGAACGAUACCGCAAGGUAUAGUGGCGGACGGGUGAGUAAUCGCGUGGGCAACCUGCCUGAAGAUUGGGAUAACACCCCUGAAAGGGGUGCUAAUCCAAAUGUAGUUGCGGUACCGCAUGGUACUGCAAAAAAAGGAGCAAUCCACUUCAGGAUGGGCCCGCGUCUGAUUAGCUAGUUGGUGGGGUAACGGCCUACCAAGGCGACGAUCAGUAGCCGACCUGAGAGGGUGAUCGGCCACACUGGGACUGAGACACGGCCCAGACUCCUACGGGAGGCAGCAGUCGGGAAUAUUGGGCAAUGGACGAAAGUCUGACCGAGCAAUGCCGCGUGAGUGACGAAGGUCUUCGGAUCGUAAAGCUCUGUCUUCAGGGACGAAAAAAGUGACGGUACCUGAGGAGGAAGCCCCGGCUAACUACGUGCCAGCAGCCGCGGUAAUACGUAGGGGGCGAGCGUUGUCCGGAAUUACUGGGCGUAAAGGGCGAGUAGGCGGCUAUACAAGUCAGAUGUGAAAUACUGAGGCUUAACCUCAGGGCCGCAUUUGAAACUGUAUAGCUUGAGUGCAGGAGAGGAAAGUGGAAUUCCCAGUGUAGCGGUGAAAUGCGUAGAUAUUGGGAGGAACACCAGUGGCGAAGGCGACUUUCUGGACUGCAACUGACGCUGAGGCGCGAAAGCGU